This 84-nucleotide transfer RNA is filed under the name Echinostoma caproni. It matches the Rfam family "tRNA". Rfam says of the family: Transfer RNA (tRNA) molecules are approximately 80 nucleotides in length. The record is from Rfam by way of RNAcentral. Lineage: Eukaryota; Metazoa; Platyhelminthes; Trematoda; Plagiorchiida; Echinostomatidae.
GGCCUUGAAGCUUAGCUGGUUGAGCGUCUGCUUCACAAAAGCCUAGGCGGCGUCCAUGUGUGGGUUCGAAUCCCACGAAGGCUA